Molecule: ribosomal RNA, 798 nt
Filed under: uncultured bacterium
Lineage: Bacteria
Description: bacterial SSU rRNA
Rfam family: Bacterial small subunit ribosomal RNA
Source: RNAcentral
UCGAACGAGUUCUCGUUGAUGAUCGGUGCUUGCACCGAGAUUCAACAUGGAACGAGUGGCGGACGGGUGAGUAACACGUGGGUAACCUGCCCUUAAGUGGGGGAUAACAUUUGGAAACAGAUGCUAAUACCGCAUAGAUCCAAGAACCGCAUGGUUCUUGGCUGAAAGAUGGCGUAAGCUAUCGCUUUUGGAUGGACCCGCGGCGUAUUAGCUAGUUGGUGAGGUAAUGGCUCACCAAGGCGAUGAUACGUAGCCGAACUGAGAGGUUGAUCGGCCACAUUGGGACUGAGACACGGCCCAAACUCCUACGGGAGGCAGCAGUAGGGAAUCUUCCACAAUGGACGCAAGUCUGAUGGAGCAACGCCGCGUGAGUGAAGAAGGCUUUCGGGUCGUAAAACUCUGUUGUUGGAGAAGAAUGGUCGGCAGAGUAACUGUUGUCGGCGUGACGGUAUCCAACCAGAAAGCCACGGCUAACUACGUGCCAGCAGCCGCGGUAAUACGUAGGUGGCAAGCGUUAUCCGGAUUUAUUGGGCGUAAAGCGAGCGCAGGCGGUUUUUUAAGUCUGAUGUGAAAGCCCUCGGCUUAACCGAGGAAGCGCAUCGGAAACUGGGAAACUUGAGUGCAGAAGAGGACAGUGGAACUCCAUGUGUAGCGGUGAAAUGCGUAGAUAUAUGGAAGAACACCAGUGGCGAAGGCGGCUGUCUGGUCUGUAACUGACGCUGAGGCUCGAAAGCAUGGGUAGCGAACAGGAUUAGAUACCCUGGUAGUCCAUGCCGUAAACGAUGAAUGCUAGGUGUU